CCUACGGGUGGCAGCAGUGAGGAAUAUUGGACAAUGGGCGCGAGCCUGAACCAGCCACGUAGCGUGAAGGAUGACUGCCCUACGGGUUGUAAACUUCUUUUAUAAAGGAAUAAAGUGAGGCACGGGUGCCUUUUUGUAUGUCCUUUUUGGAUAAGGAUCGGCUAACUCCGUGCCAGCAGCCGCGGUAAUACGGAGGAUCCGAGCGUUAUCCGGAUUUAUUGGGUUUAAAGGGAGCGUAGAUGGGUUGGUAAGUCAGUUGUGAAAGUUUGCGGCUCAACCGUAAAAUUGCAAUUGAUACUGGCAGUCUUGAGUACAGUUGAGGUAGGCGGAAUUCGUGGUGUAGCGGUGAAAUGCUUAGAUAUCAGGAAGAACUCCGAUUGCGAAGGCAGCUUACUAAACUGCCACUGACAUUGAUGCUCGAAAGUGUGGGUAGCAAACAGGAUUAGAUACCCCUGUAGUC
RNAcentral lists this ribosomal RNA (460 nucleotides) under uncultured bacterium. Its description in RNAcentral is "partial 16S ribosomal RNA". It matches the Rfam family "Bacterial small subunit ribosomal RNA", at positions 338 to 795 of the family's 1533-position model. The record is from RNAcentral.